This 449-nucleotide ribosomal RNA is filed under the name uncultured bacterium. RNAcentral describes it as "partial 16S ribosomal RNA". It matches the Rfam family "Bacterial small subunit ribosomal RNA", at positions 29 to 523 of the family's 1533-position model. The record is from RNAcentral.
AACGAACGCUGGCGGCAGGCUUAACACAUGCAAGUCGAGCGCAUCCUUCGGGGUGAGCGGCAGACGGGUGAGUAACGCGUGGGAACGUACCCUUUCCUACGGAAUAGCUCCGGGAAACUGGAAUUAAUACCGUAUACGCCCCUAGGGGGAAAGAUUUAUCGGGGAAGGAUCGGCCCGCGUUGGAUUAGCUAGUUGGUGGGUUAAAGGCCUACCAAGGCGACGAUCCAUAGCUGGUCUGAGAGGAUGAUCAGCCACAUUGGGACUGAGACACGGGCCAAACUCCUACGGGAGGCAGCAGUGGGGAAUAUUGGACAAUGAGCGCAAGCAUGAUCCAGCCAUGCCGCGUGAGUGAUGAAGGCCUUAGGGUUGUAAAGCUCUUUCAGUAGGGAAGAUAAUGACGGUACCUACAGAAGAAGCCCCGGCUAACUUCGUGCCAGCCGCCGCGGUAA